This is a long non-coding RNA of Paramacrobiotus metropolitanus, 353 nucleotides long. RefSeq lists it as uncharacterized. The transcript is spliced from 3 exons. The record is from RefSeq and is a predicted model, not a curated record. Lineage: Eukaryota; Metazoa; Tardigrada; Eutardigrada; Parachela; Macrobiotidae.
GGGAAAAUUUAUUGAUCCAGAGAUAUUUCAGACCACGCUGCGAAAACACUGGAACUGGAACUCUAAAAGUAGUCUACUAGAAGGAGAUGUUGCUGGAUUGAAUGAAAUUCUAUCUCAUAAUAACCCGAGGAGCAAGGGAUGAUUACUAACGCCAUGGUGAACAUGACAGCGGAAACCGGCGAUACAUGCAUGCACCACGUUCAUCAGCCACACGGACGAAGAGCACUUUAUUCACUUUUCACGUGGCACACAAUGCCAGUCAUAUGUUGGCCGCCAGUCGGGAUCGCAAUAGAGAAUUGAAUUGGCUCCAGAGUGCUUCACCGAGUUAGGCGUCAUCCAGCACGAGAUCAUGC